UAAAAGUCGUAACAAGGUUUCGCUAGGUGAACCUGGGGAAGGAUCAUUAUCAAAUUACAGCGGACUUCGGUCCUGUCUGCACCCUUGUCUUUUGCGUACUAUAUGUUUCCUCGGUGGGCUUGCCUGCCGAUAGGACACUUAUAAACUCUUUUGUAAUUGCAAUCAGCGUCAGAAAAACUAUAAUAGUUACAACUUUCAACAACGGAUCUCUUGGUUCUGGCAUCGAUGAAGAACGCAGCGAAAUGCGAAAAGUAGUGUGAAUUGCAGGAUUCAGUGAAUCAUCGAAUCUUUGAACGCACAUUGCGCCCCUUGGUAUUCCAUGGGGCAUGCCUGUUCGAGCGUCAUUUGUACCCUCAAGCUCUGCUUCGUGUUGGGUGUUUGUCCCGCUAUUGCGCGUGGACUCGCCUUAAAGCAAUUGGCAGCCGGCAUAUUGGCCUGGAGCGCAGCACAAUUUGCAACUUCUUGCCUUUUGAAUGUCGAGCAUCCAGAAGCAAGACUUUUUGCUUUUGUCCUCGGAUCAGGGACGGA
This 528-nucleotide ribosomal RNA is filed under the name fungal sp. FE-3. Its description in RNAcentral is "eukaryotic LSU rRNA". The stretch from base 191 to 344 matches the Rfam family "5.8S ribosomal RNA". Lineage: Eukaryota; Fungi. The record is from RNAcentral.